This 253-nucleotide ribosomal RNA is filed under the name uncultured bacterium. Its description in RNAcentral is "partial 16S ribosomal RNA". It matches the Rfam family "Bacterial small subunit ribosomal RNA", at positions 524 to 776 of the family's 1533-position model. The record is from RNAcentral.
UACGAAGGGGACUAGCGUUCUUCGGAAUCACUGGGCGUAAAGGGCUCGUAGGCGGCCAACUAAGUCAUACGUGAAAUCCCUCGGCUUAACCGGGGAACUGCGUCUGAUACUGGAUGGCUUGAGUUCGGGAGAGGGAUGCGGAAUUCCAGGUGUAGCGGUGAAAUGCGUAGAUAUCUGGAGGAACACCGGUGGCGAAGGCGGCAUCCUGGACCGAUACUGACGCUGAGGAGCGAAAGCCAGGGGAGCAAACGGG